CUAUCCCUCCCUCUUCUAUCUCUGUCACCUGCCGGAAUCACUCACACACAACAUCAUACAAAAAUCUAGGGGUGCUAAAAAAUCAUUCACACACAAAAAACUCUUUAGUUGCCCUUGGCCUUGCCCCUUUGUUCAUUCAUAAUCCACCCUCCAGACGUAGAAGAUGCAGAUGCAAAUGCCAAACAGAAAACACGCAUCUGGGCGCACCAUUCUUCAGCCUUGGCCCACAAUUCUCUGCCUCCUCUUUCUUUAUCGCUCAUAUCGAUUGAUUUCAUACAGAACCAGAAUAUAGGUAUAUAAAAAAAUGGAAGAGGGGAAGGGGAAGCACGCCUCAUGUUUGGGGAGGAUGAUGAGAUGGCAGGAACGAUGAUGUGGCGUUGAGGUUGAAUGAAUUUCCAAGAAACCUGUACAAAAAUUAUUUCCUUUAAAUACACUAUUAUUGGAAUUAAUUAGCAUGUACAAAAUUGAAACUCGUACAACGGAAUUAAUUAGGAUGUACAAAAUAGAAAUUUGUGUAUCAUAAUUAAUGUUGCUUAUUGUUGACAAUAUAGACAAUGGAUAUAUAAAUGCAUGUGUAUAG
Molecule: long non-coding RNA, 580 nt
Filed under: Helianthus annuus (common sunflower)
Lineage: Eukaryota; Viridiplantae; Streptophyta; Magnoliopsida; Asterales; Asteraceae
Source: RNAcentral